AGUUCCCAGAAUUCUGACACGGAGGCAUGUGCCCAUGAGAUCUUCUUUUCAGGCCUCCAUCCUUCCUGGCCCACCUUUAGUACUGAGGAAUUACAGCAGAAAACAUGAAGAAUUGGUGCUUGCUGACUUGCCUGGGAUUGUAAGUUGUAUCCUGGUACUCUGAGCCUCAUGGAUUUGGGAAGGGAAAUUCUCCCUCAAUGGAACGACUUCCAUCCAAGACUGUUCUGCUCUUCAUCUCCAGAAAGAAGCAAAGGACCUCAAAUCUCAGCAUGUACACCAGUAGGAUCAGGCUGAACAGUUUCAAGCAUUGUGUUUCAGUCCUCAGAGCCACCAUACAAGGUACAGUCUGUUUUUUGAACAAAUGGCACAAUUGAGUCAUGGUGAAGUCAACCUUGUGGAUAAGAAGAAGGAUUAACUCUGGCCCUUGGUAGAGCACUGAUCUCGUAUGAUCAAGGCCCUGGAUCGAACUAUGGGAAAUGAAAAAGAAAUUUCAAACAUAAAGACACACACAAACAAUUUAGAACUACCAAUGCAGCUACUUUCAACUUCACUGUACCUUCCUGAAAUGUUUCAAAUGUAAUAUUGAAACUGAAUAUUUGUGGUGUCUUGAGUUCAAACAUUCAUUCAUUGAUUUAAGUUUCUGAGGAAUGAUGGGUACUCAUCUAGUCUCAGUCCAUUUAAGAUUCACAAACAUUGUCCCAGACAAUGAGACCCAUCUUUCUUCAGCAUAGAGAAGAUGAAUCACUAGACUAUGCACGUAGCAGUAAAGGGGCUUGAUACAGCCAAACUUUGGCUCAGACCCUCUGGCCAGGCCCAUUUGGAUAAUGUGCCUGCUUUUGCACAGUUGUCAGUCUUAUCAGCAAGUGUCCUGUGAGCAAAAAAACCAAGAAGACUCCUCCAGUAAGAGUAAAAGAUGCUUGUGACUGUCUGCAGUUAAGGUAGUAGAGUUCUCAUAACUUGGGCCUUCAUUUCUCCAGGCCCAGCUGUCCCCUGGCUUUGGCAGUGGCAUAUUGAUGGGACUGUCUGUUCUAGAAAACACAUGCUGGGAUGUUAGAAAGGAUGAGCUCUCAGCUUCCAUAGUGAUAUCUCUUUUGGAGCCCUUACUUGAGGGCCUAGUACCAAAUCAGGCCAUAUUCACAGAUGGUUCUUUCUUCCCCACCACUGAUAAUCAGGCCUUUCUUUAUUUUAUUCAUAUUACUGUUGUUGAUAGAGUCUCAUGUUUCCCAGGCAGGCACAGAGUCAUGAUCCUUCUGCCCUAUGUCCAUGGCGUUGAAAUAAGAGGCUUGUCACCAC
This 1293-nucleotide long non-coding RNA is filed under the name Mus musculus (house mouse). Its description in RNAcentral is "RIKEN cDNA 4933406F09 gene (4933406F09Rik)". Lineage: Eukaryota; Metazoa; Chordata; Mammalia; Rodentia; Muridae. The record is from RNAcentral.